AAUGUGUGACUUAGCCAUGACGCGUGUGCUGUGCGCGCUGAACACGUGCCCUUUUAAAAACACUAGGCUUGUUCGACUUCAUGCGGCGCUGCAAGAACCGACAGCCGGAUGACGUCAAAGUACCGCGAGAACGAUUCGAGAACUCAUACGAAGUGUAAUUUCGUCUCGCUCUCGCGGCACUUUAACGUCAUCCGUCUAGCGGGGCCGCAGGAAGUCGAAUAGCCUUCUUUCUCAUUGCGGAUUACCAGGUGGGACUGACGAAGCUCCUCUUUCACGGGUUUCUUUACUGUUUUCAGGAGUGACAAAAUAACCUCUUUAAUAGAAGAAAAGCUGAAGAUUUCAACAUUUUCUGAAGGGAGCUACAUACAGAGAUGUAAACUCAGGCAGAUUUUCCAGGCUGAUAUCCGUGCAGCAGAGUCGAAGCAGACCUGUCAGAAAACAUCUCUAAGGUGUUAUGAAUCUCAUAACUAGAUACACAUCAUAAGAUGACUAGAGCUUACGGCUGUUUGGAUCCAGCCUCACUUGUGAAGACUUCAGAUGACGUAAACACUCACAAAGACAUUAUAUGAUGGCAUGCAUCUAUAGAUGGACAUAAACAACUGCCAAAUGUAAUAUAUUGUAAUUACUGCACCAAAGCACAACUCUGCAGAUUUUCAACCCACUUAAUAUUGUUACAAAUACAAUAUGUUUAUAUUUGAAAAAAUAUUCUUUAGCUAAUUUUACAGAUUUAUUUCCAUUUAUUUGUCCACAAUACUCUGCCAAAAUGAUGAUUUGCAUCAUCCAAAUAUUGUUAAUGUACAUAUUACAGACAUUGUAACAACACAAAGUGGGUUGAAAUCCUGCUAACUUACUCUAUAAAAAUAACUGUCUGUUAACUAAACAUGACUUUAACACAUGACUUGUAUUAUAUUAGAGCUGUUGUGAUAUGAAUAUUGAUUUGUUUCCAGAAUAUGCUCCUCAGUGUGACACUUACAGUACCUCAGGCUGAUUAAGGGAUCUUUUGUAACCUUGAAACAUGCAUUUUCUUAAAAUGGCAGUAUUGUGAAGCACAAUAUACCCUAUCAUGGUUUUACUUUGGUGAAACUGCAGAUCAUUUUUCAAACUAAGGUUUUGUUACUGUGGUUCUACUA
Misgurnus anguillicaudatus (oriental weatherfish) is the source of this 1130-nucleotide non-coding RNA. NCBI's taxonomy places the organism in Eukaryota, Metazoa, Chordata, Actinopteri, Cypriniformes, Cobitidae. The record is from RefSeq and is a predicted model, not a curated record.